Molecule: long non-coding RNA, 519 nt
Organism: Felis catus (domestic cat)
Lineage: Eukaryota; Metazoa; Chordata; Mammalia; Carnivora; Felidae
Exons: 3
Source: RefSeq, a predicted model, not a curated record
AAUGUCUGCCUGAAGAUUGAUGUCCUGCUCCAUCUGUCAGCAGGGUGACUUGAAUUUAACCAUGGAGAGACGGCCCUUUGUUCUGGGGAGACACCACCAUGGACCUGUUCAUUUUCUACAGCUACUCUUCCAAAGGGACUCCGGUGCCAUUAUUAACCUGAAUGCUGACGAGUCAAGUGUUUGUUUUGAUCGUGAAAGCUGGAUGUAUCUCUUAUCUGUGACACAAAAAUACAAGGCAAAUGAAUAGGAGAAACUGAGACCCAGAAAGGAGGGCCCUUGGCUGAGGCCAGAGACCAAGGCCCACAUCUCUGGUACACCCUGCAUAUCACCCAGAGCAGGUCUGUGCACAAAGGAGGUGCUCACUCCAUCCCUGCCAACAAGCUGACGUUAACUUCCUGCAGGGGCAUACUUCCCAGAUCUGGACAUCAAAGACACAGAUAAGAGCAAGAAGGAUGUGAAGAUGACAGCAAGAAAGAAGGCAGGAUCAGGACAAAGAAAGGAAGCAAGCAAAAUGCAAGA